AUGCUGCAACAUGGAAGAACUUGAGGACAUUAUGUGGUGCAGUGAUGGACACCUGAAAGAAUCAAAGACAAGGAAGACAACUGGGACAUUCAGACCCGUCAGAGCCCCGUCAAAGUCCUCAGGCUUGUCAUCCAGCUCCAUCACUUUUAUAUUUGGUCUUGAAAUAAGGAGCCUUUUACAAUGGACUUGGAAGGAGCAAUGACAGGACACAGGCAUGGCUGAAGAAGCCAUCUGCACAAACUUCCCCCAGGAGGCCAAAUCGGCACCCC
Ailuropoda melanoleuca (giant panda) is the source of this 269-nucleotide long non-coding RNA. RefSeq lists it as uncharacterized. NCBI's taxonomy places the organism in Eukaryota, Metazoa, Chordata, Mammalia, Carnivora, Ursidae. The record is from RefSeq and is a predicted model, not a curated record. The transcript has 3 exons.